This 301-nucleotide ribosomal RNA is filed under the name uncultured bacterium. Its description in RNAcentral is "partial 16S ribosomal RNA". It matches the Rfam family "Bacterial small subunit ribosomal RNA", at positions 509 to 809 of the family's 1533-position model. The record is from RNAcentral.
CAGUAGCCGCGGGAAAACAGAGGAUGCAAGCGUUAUCCGGAAUGAUUGGGCGUAAAGCGUGCGCAGGCGGUUCGUUAAGACAGAUGUGAAAUCCCCGGGCUUAACCUGGGAACUGCAUUUGUGACUGGCGAGCUAGAGUAUGGCAGAGGGGGGUAGAAUUCUACGUGUAGCAGUGAAAUGCGUAGAGAUGUGGAGGAAUACCGAUGGCGAAGGCAGCCCCCUGGGCCAAUACUGACGCUCAUGCACGAAAGCGUGGGGAGCAAACAGGAUUAGAUACCCCGGUAGUCCCUGUCUCUUAUAA